Molecule: long non-coding RNA, 524 nt
Filed under: Phoenix dactylifera (date palm)
Lineage: Eukaryota; Viridiplantae; Streptophyta; Magnoliopsida; Arecales; Arecaceae
Description: long non-coding RNA (PDAC_LNC011225)
Source: RNAcentral
UCAGAGCCUAGGCAUCGUAGAUUAAGGUAUGGAUUAAUUAUUCAUAGGCUUAUUAGAUCUGAAAUUUAAAUGAUUAUGCAUGCUGAAAAUUUUCUGCAUGCAGAUUUUUUCUAGGAUGCUGAUUUUUGCAUGCUGAUUUUUAUGUGAUAAAAGAUGAUUCUAAUUGCAUUGUUAAUGGGAUUACAAAGUUUAGAAUCAUGGUUAGCAUGAUCAGCAACCUAUAUCAUGAGAUAAUCAAAUAGAUUUCAGAUCUGAAAAUUAUAAUUGUUGCAUGUGGUGAUGAUCAUAGGAUUCAAACCCUUUUGGUAUCAAAUGUAAUGACCUGCGAUGUGAUCUGUAAUGUCAUGUAAUUUUUCAGAUGCUUGCAUGCAUCUUAUUUGAUGUUUUGAGAGGCCUGCGUGCCUCCUAAAAGGGGAUGUAAUUUAUUAUUAUUUUUAUUUUACAUCUGGUUGUAUUUCUGUGAUGUGAUGUACGUCAACGAUCAAGUUAAAGACAAGGAAUGAGAUGAACGGCGAUCCAAGUGG